This 75-nucleotide transfer RNA is filed under the name Parageobacillus caldoxylosilyticus. Its description in RNAcentral is "tRNA-Gly". It matches the Rfam family "tRNA". Rfam says of the family: Transfer RNA (tRNA) molecules are approximately 80 nucleotides in length. Their secondary structure includes four short double-helical elements and three loops (D, anti-codon, and T loops). RNAcentral also lists the same sequence under 9 other names. The record is from RNAcentral. Lineage: Bacteria; Bacillati; Bacillota; Bacilli; Caryophanales; Anoxybacillaceae.
GCGGAAGUAGUUCAGUGGUAGAACAUCACCUUGCCAAGGUGGGGGUCGCGGGUUCGAGUCCCGUCUUCCGCUCCA